GUCCACUGGAGAAUAUCCUAACAAUGUGGAAAACUAGUAUCGUUAAUCAUGAGAUCAGCCAGAACUCAGUAUAAAAUUGUCACAUAUAUUAGAAAAAAUAAAUUGAAAAAAGUAUCAAAGAAGCCCUUUGAAAAAGUAACUGCUUGGCAACAAUAAAUAUCAAUGCGGCAAUGUAUCAGAAGUGUGUCUGAUACUCAGUGAUGUAGC
Molecule: non-coding RNA, 207 nt
Organism: Pelobates cultripes (western spadefoot toad)
Lineage: Eukaryota; Metazoa; Chordata; Amphibia; Anura; Pelobatidae
Source: the annotation of a GenBank genome assembly